Molecule: small nucleolar RNA, 99 nt
Filed under: Punctularia strigosozonata HHB-11173 SS5
Lineage: Eukaryota; Fungi; Basidiomycota; Agaricomycetes; Corticiales; Punctulariaceae
Description: Small nucleolar RNA Z13/snr52
Rfam family: Small nucleolar RNA Z13/snr52
About the family: Z13 or snr52 is a member of the C/D class of snoRNA which contain the C (UGAUGA) and D (CUGA) box motifs.
Source: Rfam by way of RNAcentral
GUUUCCUACUUGAUGAAUCCAACACGGAUGUACAAUUUUUGAGUCCGAGAGCGCUUAACUCGUGUGGAUAUUUCCGUUGCCUUCCUUCUGAUCUCUGCC